Molecule: long non-coding RNA, 207 nt
Filed under: Carica papaya (papaya)
Lineage: Eukaryota; Viridiplantae; Streptophyta; Magnoliopsida; Brassicales; Caricaceae
Description: long non-coding RNA (CPAP_LNC002567)
Source: RNAcentral
UCCAUACCUCGUCUGGUAUGAGAGACCACGUUCCCGGUAGGGUUCUCUACGGACCCGGUCCGUCCACCAUCUCCCAGGAUAUCUAGUCAGGCUAUCCACAUUAUCCAUUUAUCGAUUCACGUAACCUUUUAUUCAUUUUUUCCUCAGUCACCAUCAUCAAAUCACACACAAACAUGCAAACCAGUAGAUUAUGCAAAACAAGACAAC